GAUGAACGCUAGCGACAGGCUUAACACAUGCAAGUCGAGGGGCAGCGGGUAGAUGAGCUUGCUCAUUUAUGCCGGCGACCGGCGCACGGGUGAGUAACACGUAUGCAACCUGCCCGUCUCAGGGGGAUAAUCGUCGGAAACGGCGUCUAAUACCCCGUAUGAAGCUGGACGGCAUCGUCUGGUUGUGAAAGAAUAUCGGAGACGGAUGGGCAUGCGGCGCAUUAGCUAGUUGGCGGGGUAACGGCCCACCAAGGCGACGAUGCGUAGGGGUUCUGAGAGGAAGGUCCCCCACACUGGUACUGAGACACGGACCAG
Molecule: ribosomal RNA, 315 nt
Filed under: uncultured bacterium
Lineage: Bacteria
Description: bacterial SSU rRNA
Rfam family: Bacterial small subunit ribosomal RNA
Source: RNAcentral